RNAcentral lists this transfer RNA (541 nucleotides) under uncultured Prochlorococcus sp. RNAcentral describes it as "partial 16S-23S ribosomal RNA intergenic spacer". The stretch from base 212 to 284 matches the Rfam family "tRNA". The record is from RNAcentral. Lineage: Bacteria; Bacillati; Cyanobacteriota; Cyanophyceae; Synechococcales; Prochlorococcaceae.
CAGGGAGACAACAAAAUGUUUAAUAUUAUUAUUUUGUCACCUUAGGUCGAUCGGUAUCUCACGUUCUUAAUUUAUUAAGAAUUUCAUUUCCUAAGUUUUUCUAGGUCACACCCAUUAUUUUUCCUGGGCCAUUAGCUCAGGUGGUUAGAGCGCACCCCUGAUAAGGGUGAGGUCCCUGGUUCAAGUCCAGGAUGGCCCAUAUCUCUAUGUUGGGGGUAUAGCUCAGUUGGUAGAGCGCCUGCUUUGCAAGCAGGAUGUCAGCGGUUCGAGUCCGCUUACCUCCACUGAUUACCACCUCUUCCAUACCGGUAAUAAAGGAAAUGUUUUGAGUUGUGAUCAAAUUCUGAAAGAAUCUAGCUUCCUAAUGAAAUCAUUAAGAUGCUGGACUCAUUGAAUUAAUUUCAUUGUUUUCAGAGAACCUUGACAACUGCAUAGAUUAUUUUUAAAGACAAUAAGCAUCUUUAAUGAUGCAGAUUUAUUAUUUGUGCGAAUGCAUUAAUAACAAUUCUAUUAAGCUGAUGCUUCAAUUUUUGAAGUUAUU